UUUGGGUUUUUUAGGGGUUUUUAUUAAGACUUUAAAGGAAAGUACAAAAGUAAUCACAAAGCAAAAGCAACUUCAUUUCUAAUUUUAACUUCACCCAAAACAAGAAAUUAUUCAGAGAACUGAUCGUCACUAUCUUCUUUAACAGUAGGAUCAAAUAUUUACAACAAGCAACUUUCAGAGAUUUAACAUCCAACAACUACUUCAAGUCUGACAUAUAAAAGAUGGUGUUUCAGAAAUUAGACUUUCAUUGAGUUGAACUUUGAUGCCAUCAUGCACAGGAAGCCUUUAAACUUAACUAAAAUCAGACACAUGAAAGAAAACAUAAUUAUAAUAAACACUUUAAAACUUAUAAAUCAUAAUUUUCAGGGAUGUUUUUGGAGCCUUUACAGCAUUUUUUUUGUUUUACAUGAAUAUUUACACAACUGGAAACAGAGUCCUAAUUAAGUGCAAAUGUGUUGAAACUAAAUUCAGAUUAAUUUCAGGAUUUAAUGGCAGAUUAGGGAGCCAAAUUCAAAAUGAUUGAUCAGCUGAUUUGAUAAAAGUGAACAAACAAAACCAGAGCACAAACAAACGUCUUUCUUUAUAUAAUCAUCAGUAAGAUCUCUGCUGGUUGGCAGACUUCUGUAUUUUAAAGCUGUAUUUCUCCAGACUGCUGCUAAACACCAUGAGUACUUAACAGAAAAUGUGAAAGCAUGUUAAUGUUCAUAAAACCAAAACUGAUUUAAGUGCAAAGCUCCCAACACCAGAAGGAUCAAACUGUUACUGUGGUUGAUGAGUUUAAGAUGAACACAGAAAUCUUUAUCACGGAUGAACAAAAAUCAGUGUGACGCUUUCACUGAUGAAGAUUGUGUUUAACUUCUUUACAAUUGAGAGAAAAAAAAAUCAUCUUCAUAGAAUAUUUUUAUAAUUUCAGCAGGACUUUCAUCAAAAGCUAAAUACACAACCUGAUGUCCUAAUUUAUGUUUGAGAAGAUGCGCUGUAGAUUAUUGUUAUUCAUUAGUCAACUCAUUUAAAACUUAUUUUUUUGUAUUUUCUCAAUAAGCAUCACAAAUAUGAUUCCAGCCCUGAUCACUUUAUGUUGUGUAUGAAGAAAAAAAAAACAAUUGUUUCCCAGGAAAAUGUGUUGGAUCUCCUCCUUGUUAGGCAGGGAAAUAUGUCCACCAACCUUAAAAAAGCAGAAGGGACAAAACUUUAAAGACAAAAUCAUUUCUGAUAUUUUUUUCAAAGGAUAUGUCAAUAAAAAAGGUAUUAAUGAUGGAUUCAUGUCUAAAGUCCUCAGAAAGUUUUGUUUUCACACAGCUUAAGGGUGACAACAGGUAACAAAACCAGGCUCAUCAAAUGUGACUCACUGGGUUCAGGGUGGUGUGUUUGUCUUUUAGGCGCUUGGGUUUGGAAGCAUUUUCUCUUGCUCCACAGGGGCAGUAUAGACUGCUGUAAGAUCAGAAAGCAACACGUUAGCAAUUAAACCAUCAUUUAAAAAUUUAAGUCAAAUUAAGGAUAAAAACAAACUUUACUUACGAGAUGGAGGACGUUUGGCUGGAAAAGAAACAAAACAAACAAUGAACAAAUUUGAAAUCCUCCACCUGUCACAUCCUGAAUCUCAUCCUGGAUUCUGAAAAUGUUAUCUUUUUCUACUUUUGCCACGAGGACACAAACGAGGACGGGAUGAAAAAGACAAACUGAGACUGUCUCUGCUUUGACCUCUCACCAUUUUGCUUCUUCUUGUAGAAGUAGACCCCUCCACAGAUGAUGGUGGAGAGAAGAAUCAACACAGCAACAACGAUGAUGAUCGUGUACAAGAGAUUCCCUGUGAAGCAGAAAACAACAAAGUGAAGUCAAACUCUGAACAGAUGAAGUUGAUUAAAGAGAACAUUUGUUGUUUGUUUCCAGUCUCACCAGAGUUUGUCCUGAUCUUAGUCUUGUCCAGGUUGGUGAUGAUGUCCUCCUGACCAGCCAGCUGAAACACACACUCAUACUUCCCCCAGUCAUCAGACGGGACUUUCAGGUCAGCACUCAUCUGGAAGGAUCCGUCAGGGUUGGGGAGGGUCUCUCCGAGGUCCACCUCCUCAUGAAGCUCCUCUCCAUCUUUCCUCCAGAGCAUCAUGGCUCUGUUGGGGUAGAAACCUGAAGCGUGGCAGGUGACCGGAGAGGACGGAGACUUCUGGAGGAGAGACACUGAGGGGAGGUCUGGAG
Molecule: non-coding RNA, 2193 nt
Organism: Xyrichtys novacula (pearly razorfish)
Lineage: Eukaryota; Metazoa; Chordata; Actinopteri; Labriformes; Labridae
Source: the annotation of a GenBank genome assembly